GGGGCGUUAUGCUAGACAGGAGGCCUGCGUGCCAGUGAUGCACAUUAAACGGCCGCGGUAUUCUGACCGUGCAAAGGUAGCAUAAUCAUUUGUUCCCUAAAUAGGGACUUGUAUGAAUGGCCACACGAAGGUCUAACUGUCUCUUGCUCCCAAUCAGUGAAAUUGACCUCCCCGUGAAGAGGCGGGGAUACUAUAAUAAGACGAGAAGACCCUAUGGAGCUUUAAUUAGCCAGCUUAACAUGAUAAUCAAUACUCAAAAGAGAUAAAAUAACCUUGCUUUAAGUUGGUAAUUUGGGUUGGGGUGACCUCGGAGUACAAAAAAUCCUCCGAGUGAUUAACUUCUAGGCUCACUGGCCAAAAGAACAGUAUCAUUAAUUGAUCCAAAUAAUUGAUCAACGGAACAAGUUACCCUAGGGAUAACAGCGCAAUCCCAUUCAAGAGUCCAUAUCGACAAUGGGGUUUACGACCUCGAUGUUGGAUCAGGACAUCCUGGCGGUGCAGACGCUGCCAAAGGUUCGUUUGUUCAACGAUUAAUAGUCCUACGUGAUCUGAGUUCCAGA
This 560-nucleotide ribosomal RNA is filed under the name Taphozous longimanus (Long-winged tomb bat). Its description in RNAcentral is "partial 16S ribosomal RNA". It matches the Rfam family "Bacterial large subunit ribosomal RNA", at positions 1884 to 2616 of the family's 2925-position model. The record is from RNAcentral. Lineage: Eukaryota; Metazoa; Chordata; Mammalia; Chiroptera; Emballonuridae.